GAGUAGACAACAAAAUGGAUUACAAAAGGUUUUACAUCUCGGCAUUCAUGUUUUUUUUUCUUUGUGCACGAAUUUUAUUUUUGGGGUGUCGUCAAAUCUUGACUCUUUUUCCACUCAAAUUUGUUUUAAUGCAUGAGUAUAUUUCUAAGGCAAGUGCUUAUUUUUUCAUUUCUUUUCUUCUUUUUUUUCGGUAGAAGCGAAUGUUUCUACAUACUUUCUUUUUCUCUUUUUUUGUUUUCUUCUUUCUUUUCCUUGCACUUGCCAUUUUUCAACAACAUUUUUAAUCUACGGAUGCAUACCCCAAACUUAUCUUUUUGCACAAGUUUUACAUUACACAGUCAUGCCGAGCUAGGGUAGGGAGUGUAUGGUUAAGGGUUAACAUGAUGGUUUAAACAAA
This 397-nucleotide long non-coding RNA is filed under the name Lathyrus oleraceus (garden pea). RNAcentral's name for it is "Pisum sativum (pea) long non-coding RNA (PSAT_LNC018797)". Lineage: Eukaryota; Viridiplantae; Streptophyta; Magnoliopsida; Fabales; Fabaceae. The record is from RNAcentral.